CCUACGGGAGGCAGCAGUGAGGAAUAUUGGUCAAUGGGAGAGAUCCUGAACCAGCCAAGCCGCGUGAGGGAAGACGGCCCUAUGGGUUGUAAACCUCUUUUGUCGGAGAACAAAACCCGGGACGUGUCCCGGACUGCGUGUAUCCGAAGAAAACGCAUCGGCUACCUCCGUGCCAGCAGCCGCGGUAAUCCGGAGGCUGCGAGCGUUAUCCGGAUUUAUUGGGUUUAAAGGGUGCGUAGGCGGUCCGUUAAGUCAGCGGUAAAAUGGCGGGGCGAAACCCCGUCGAGCCGGUGAAACUGGCAGACUUGAGUGGGUGAGAAGUACGCGGAAUGCGCGGGGUAGCGGUGAAAUGCAUAGAUAGCGCGCAGAACACCGAUUGCGAAGGCAGCGUACCGGAGCGAGACUGACGCUGAGGCACGAAAGCGUGGGGAUCGAACAGGAUUAGAUACCCGAGUAGUC
This 459-nucleotide ribosomal RNA is filed under the name uncultured bacterium. Its description in RNAcentral is "partial 16S ribosomal RNA". It matches the Rfam family "Bacterial small subunit ribosomal RNA", at positions 338 to 795 of the family's 1533-position model. The record is from RNAcentral.